AGCCUGUAUUUUAUAUGAAAUAUAUUUUUAAAUUUAAAAGAUAUAUCAUUAAAUAUUUAAGAUAUGUAUAAACUGUAAAUUAUAUCUAAUAUACACAAAUCCUAUAAAAUAUCUAAUAUAUCUAGAAAAAAUCUUGGAGUUAAUGCGUUUCAAGUUUUGUUUCUUCUUAAUCGAUUUACGAUAUUUGAACAUUGAUGAACUACUGUCGCCUUAAUCUAUAACCUUUCGAACAUUUGCGAUAUCUUACAAAUAUUUUUAAAGAUAUCUUCUAAAAGUAAAGAUAUCUAAUAAAGUAAAAAGACAUUUAAGUUGAAUAAAUAUAAAUGCAGCGUGCCAUACUGUU
Molecule: long non-coding RNA, 343 nt
Filed under: Mytilus galloprovincialis (Mediterranean mussel)
Lineage: Eukaryota; Metazoa; Mollusca; Bivalvia; Mytilida; Mytilidae
Source: RNAcentral